GCGGGUGUAGUUUAGUGGUAGAACGACAGGUUCCCAUCCUGUCAGCGAGGGUUCGAUUCCCUUCACCCGCU
RNAcentral lists this transfer RNA (71 nucleotides) under Thermocoleostomius sinensis A174. It matches the Rfam family "tRNA". From Rfam's summary of the family: Transfer RNA (tRNA) molecules are approximately 80 nucleotides in length. Their secondary structure includes four short double-helical elements and three loops (D, anti-codon, and T loops). Further hydrogen bonds mediate the characteristic L-shaped molecular structure. tRNAs have two regions of fundamental functional importance: the anti-codon, which is responsible for specific mRNA codon recognition, and the 3' end, to which the tRNAs corresponding amino acid is attached (by aminoacyl-tRNA synthetases). tRNAs cope with the degeneracy of the genetic code in two manners: having more than one tRNA (with a specific anti-codon) for a particular amino acid; and 'wobble' base-pairing, i.e. permitting non-standard base-pairing at the 3rd anti-codon position. The record is from Rfam by way of RNAcentral. RNAcentral also lists the same sequence under 1 other name. Lineage: Bacteria; Bacillati; Cyanobacteriota; Cyanophyceae; Oculatellales; Oculatellaceae.